RNAcentral lists this ribosomal RNA (588 nucleotides) under uncultured bacterium. Its description in RNAcentral is "partial 16S ribosomal RNA". It matches the Rfam family "Bacterial small subunit ribosomal RNA", at positions 355 to 1375 of the family's 1533-position model. The record is from RNAcentral.
UGGGGAAUAUUGGACAAUGGGGGCAACCCUGAUCCAGCCAUGCCGCGUGUGUGAAGAAGGCCUUUUGGUUGUAAAGCACUUUAAGCAGGGAGGAGAGGCUAAUGGUUAAUACCCAUUAGAUUAGACGUUACCUGCAGAAUAAGCACCGGCUAACUCUGUGCCAGCAGCCGCGGUAAUACAGAGGGUGCGAGCGUUAAUCGGAAUUACUGGGCGUAAAGCGAGUGUAGGUGGCUCAUUAAGUCACAUGUGAAAUCCCCGGGCUUAACCUGGGAACUGCAUGUGAUACUGGUGGUGCUAGAAUAUGUGAGAGGGAAGUAGAAUUCCCAGGUGUAGCGGUGAAAUGCGUAGAGAUCUGGAGGAAUACCGAUGGCGAAGGCAGCUUCCUGGCAUAAUAUUGACACUGAGAUUCGAAAGCGUGGGUAGCAAACAGGAUUAGAUACCCUGGUAGUCCACGCCGUAAACGAUGUCUACUAGCCGUUGGGGUCCUUGAGACUUUAGUGGCGCAGUUAACGCGAUAAGUAGACCGCCUGGGGAGUACGGCCGCAAGGUUAAAACUUAAAUGAAUUGACGGGGUCAUAGCUGUUUCCU